Molecule: long non-coding RNA, 369 nt
Organism: Drosophila sulfurigaster albostrigata
Lineage: Eukaryota; Metazoa; Arthropoda; Insecta; Diptera; Drosophilidae
Exons: 3
Source: RefSeq, a predicted model, not a curated record
UUUCAUCUCAUCACAGGGUAUUAUUAUAUCAACUCCAUUUUGUGCAGACCAUUAAUGUGCAGCUGACAAUUUUGCCCAGCAGCUGCAGUGAAAGACAUAGAGCAGCAACCGGAAACCGGCAAAAAACAUUGCGCCUUUAAGCAUGGAUUUUUUUCUACACUUCCUCCUCCCCGCUCUUCGCUGUACUUUGGAAUUUAAUUCAUUUGUGUAUAGGAGUGUAUGUGCAUCAUGUUCAUCAAUCAAUUAAUCGAUACGCGCAAUGCCAAACGAAAUUGCUGGGAGUCUGAUUCUGUGUAUAUGUGGGAAAUGGAAAAACUCCUGGCUCAGUUGAGUGGAAGGCGUUGUAAUAUUAAUAAAAUGAAAUAAAAU